This 72-nucleotide transfer RNA is filed under the name Kitasatospora papulosa. Its description in RNAcentral is "tRNA-Arg". It matches the Rfam family "tRNA". From Rfam's summary of the family: Transfer RNA (tRNA) molecules are approximately 80 nucleotides in length. Their secondary structure includes four short double-helical elements and three loops (D, anti-codon, and T loops). Lineage: Bacteria; Bacillati; Actinomycetota; Actinomycetes; Kitasatosporales; Streptomycetaceae. RNAcentral also lists the same sequence under 4 other names. The record is from RNAcentral.
GCUCUUGUCGUCCAGCGGAGAGGACACCGGCCUACGGAGCCGGAAACCGGGGUUCGAAUCCUCGCAGGAGCA